UACAGAGGGUGCGAGCGUUAAUCGGAAUUACUGGGCGUAAAGGGCGCGUAGGCGGUUAUUUAAGUUAGAUGUGAAAUCCCUGGGCUUAACCUAGGAAUGGCAUCUGAUACUGGAUGGCUGGAGUGCGGUAGAGGGUAGUGGAAUUUCCGGUGUAGCGGUGAAAUGCGUAGAUAUCGGAAGGAACACCAGUGGCGAAGGCGGCUACCUGGACUGACACUGACGCUGAGGCGCGAGAGCGUGGGGAGCAAACAGG
This 253-nucleotide ribosomal RNA is filed under the name uncultured bacterium. Its description in RNAcentral is "partial 16S ribosomal RNA". It matches the Rfam family "Bacterial small subunit ribosomal RNA", at positions 524 to 776 of the family's 1533-position model. The record is from RNAcentral.